GGCUUCCUGGGGUUUACCACAGGCUGCAUUCUUUCACUGACCAUAUAGCAUUCUUAUACUGACCAUAUAGAAAGAUAAGGCAAAGUAAACCUGCUCCACGUACACCUAAGCCCAGGCCCUGUGCCUGGUCUGUAUUGUUAAUGGGGAAACA
Molecule: small nucleolar RNA, 151 nt
Filed under: Castor canadensis (American beaver)
Lineage: Eukaryota; Metazoa; Chordata; Mammalia; Rodentia; Castoridae
Description: Small nucleolar RNA SNORA51 (ENSCCNG00000025682.1)
Rfam family: Small nucleolar RNA SNORA51
About the family: ACA51 is a member of the H/ACA class of snoRNA that guide the sites of modification of uridines to pseudouridines.
Source: RNAcentral